CCUUUAGCUACUCGCCCUUUGCUGGUGUCACCCAUGAAGUGAGGAUGGAAAAUUUGAAUUGCAAAGCUCGACAGCUGGCGAAUCGAACACGAACUACGAGAAUGUGUGGUAACCCCAAUUCAACUCCUCUACAUCGUCGCUUUUUGACGGCUGAGUUUGGCAGGCGAGUCAUCUCAUCAGCAGGAUCGGAAUGAGAAACUGAAGCUGAGCUGGGAGCAGGAAGAGGAGCAGGACAACGGGCAGGACCAGUUGACAGGGAGGGCAGACAGCAAAGGGGCGUAGUUCAAGACAAUGAAUGUGUAGCAGCUUCAGCUGCACGAAGAUUAACUUUCGAGACAAGGU
Molecule: non-coding RNA, 342 nt
Organism: Drosophila melanogaster (fruit fly)
Lineage: Eukaryota; Metazoa; Arthropoda; Insecta; Diptera; Drosophilidae
Source: Ensembl